GUGUCCUUGAUGUUUAAACACAGGGGGUAAAGUAUCUCUCCCCUAAACCUGUGGUGGAGGCUCAAGCCCUCGCUUCGGAUCCUGUCGGGAGAAACAAGC
Gadus morhua (Atlantic cod) is the source of this 99-nucleotide small nucleolar RNA. Ensembl annotates it as small nucleolar RNA SNORA26. NCBI's taxonomy places the organism in Eukaryota, Metazoa, Chordata, Actinopteri, Gadiformes, Gadidae. The record is from Ensembl.